CUACGGGGGGCAGCAGUGAGGAAUUUUGCGCAAUGGGGGAAACCCUGACGCAGCAACGCCGCGUGAGCGAAGAAGGCCCUCGGGUCGUAAAGCUCUGUCAAGUGGGAAAAAAAUUUUUUGAUCAAUAGUCAAAAGACUUGAUGGUACCACUGGAGGAAGCGCCGGCUAACUCCGUGCCAGCAGCCGCGGUAAUACGGAGGGUGCGAGCGCUGUUCGGAUUUACUGGGCGUAAAGAGCGUGUAGGCGGUUUAGCAAGUCAGAUGUGAAAGCCCUGGGCUCAACCCGGGAAGUGCAUUUGAAACUGCUUCACUAGAGUAUGGGAGAGGAGAUUGGAAUUCCGGGUGUAGAGGUGCAAUUCGUAGAUAUCAGGAGGAACACCCGUGGCGAAGGCGAUUCUCUGGACCAAUACUGACGCUGAGACGCGAAAGCGUGGGGAGCAAACAGGAUUAGAUACCCCAUAGUC
RNAcentral lists this ribosomal RNA (463 nucleotides) under uncultured bacterium. RNAcentral describes it as "partial 16S ribosomal RNA". It matches the Rfam family "Bacterial small subunit ribosomal RNA", at positions 339 to 795 of the family's 1533-position model. The record is from RNAcentral.